GACGAACGCUGGCGGCGUGCUUAACACAUGCAAGUCGAACGGUAAGGCCCUUCGGGGUACACGAGUGGCGAACGGGUGAGUAACACGUGGGUGAUCUGCCCUGCACUUCGGGAUAAGCCUGGGAAACUGGGUCUAAUACCGGAUAGGACUCCUGGCUUCAUGGUUGGGGGUGGAAAGCUUUUGCGGUGUGGGAUGGGCCCGCGGCCUAUCAGCUUGUUGGUGGGGUAAUGGCCUACCAAGGCGACGACGGGUAGCCGGCCUGAGAGGGUGACCGGGCACACUGGGACUGAGAUACGGCCCAGACUCCUACGGGAGGCAGCAGUGGGGAAUAUUGCACAAUGGGCGCAAGCCUGAUGCAGCGACGCCGCGUGAGGGAUGACGGCCUUCGGGUUGUAAACCUCUUUCAGCUAUGACGAAGCGCAAGUGACGGUAGUGGCAGAAGAAGGACCGGCCAACUACGUGCCAGCCGCCGCGGUAA
RNAcentral lists this ribosomal RNA (478 nucleotides) under uncultured bacterium. RNAcentral describes it as "partial 16S ribosomal RNA". It matches the Rfam family "Bacterial small subunit ribosomal RNA", at positions 28 to 523 of the family's 1533-position model. The record is from RNAcentral.